AGAGCCAAAUAAAUAGGGGCACCCAGCUCUAGUCAGUCCAUUGAACUCAACAAGCAGAAUCUAGGUGUCCUCACCAUGACUUGGUCUCCACUACUACUUAUCUUCCUUCAUCAUGUAACAGGGUCAUGUGCCCAGUUUGUGCUAACCCAGCCAAACUCUGUGUCUGGGUCUCUUGGCAGCACAGUCAUCAUCUCCUGCAAGCGCAGCAGUGGUAAUAUUGGAAGCUACUAUGUGUACUGGUACCAGCAACAUGUUGAAAGUCCACCCACCAAUGUGAUCUAUAAUAACAAUAAAAGACCAUCUGGGAUUCCUGAUCGGUUCUCUGGCUCCAUUGACAGCUCCUCCAACUCAGCCUCUCUGACCAUCACUAAUCUGCAGAUUGAAGAUGAGGCUGUCUACUUCUGUCGGUCUUAUGAUGAUAGUGAUAAUAAACACAGUGAUGAGAAUCAUGGGGAAGUAAGACAAAAACUCUGUAGAGCACCAGUUGUGAGAUCAUUAGUGAAAAGGACUAUUGUUAUUUUAGGUCUCCUACUUAAGUACUUAUGUUAGAAUUGCCAAAUAAUAAUUUCCUCUAUGCUCAGUGCAAGAUUCUACUUUCUCCUCCCUCAUAUGGAUGACUGACCUCUUUGCAUGUUUAGGCUUGAUCUAUGAGGUAGAAACAGUUGAAAACAGAAAUUCUUUAUGGCAAUACUACUGACAUUUUGCAUCAGAGAUUUCCUUACAUGUUUGACGUGUUUAGCACCAUCUGUGUUCAUAAGUCAUUGCAUAUUUUAAAGUUAUCUUUUCAUUUGACGUCACUAACUCUCUGUAUUGCCAAAUGUAUCUGUAACAUUGUAAGUGCCAC
Myodes glareolus (Bank vole) is the source of this 844-nucleotide non-coding RNA. The record is from the annotation of a RefSeq genome assembly. NCBI's taxonomy places the organism in Eukaryota, Metazoa, Chordata, Mammalia, Rodentia, Cricetidae.